RNAcentral lists this small RNA (290 nucleotides) under pig gut metagenome. RNAcentral describes it as "5' ureB small RNA". It matches the Rfam family "5' ureB small RNA". The record is from RNAcentral.
UCUCGACCUGCGUCGGGCUGAUGAAAUGGAUGUGGGUGUCCAGUCCGCCCGCCGUAACAAUCAGUCCUUCACCUGCAAUGACUUCUGUUCCCGCACCGAUAAUCAGGUUUUCAUCUACACCGUCCAUAAUCGCAGGAUUUCCUGCUUUUCCGAUACCACAGAUUUUCCCAUCCUUGAUUCCGAUAUCCGCUUUUACAAUGCCCCAGUAAUCUAUGAUGACAGCACUUGUAAUGACGGUAUCCGGGCAUUUGUCAUCCGGCACGGUACAGGACUGCCCCAUACCGUCACGC